UUUUUGGGAUUUAGUUGCAUAUCAUGCUUUCGGAGCUGUUGAAAAAUUUCUUGAAGGACUCUAAGAAGAAUUAAAAAAUUUAAAUUUAAAGCAAAAAGGAGAUGUAUCUGCCACAAUGCAGCAACUCGCACAAGCAUGUGACCAAUGGUAUGCCCAUACCAUUCACUAAAGGUCCCAAAAGAUCAAGUUAGCAACUCGCACAAAUGUGCAACCCAUUACACACCAUGCCAGAGUGUCCAAGGCCAUCAGACUCAAAUCACAUAGUAGGUUUCUUAUGAAGGGAACAUCUUGUAAUGGGGUGUUACAAGUAAGUGCUUCUUGGGUUGCAAGAAAUGAUUUCUUUAAUAGUGUAAAAUUA
This is a long non-coding RNA of Cajanus cajan (pigeon pea), 358 nucleotides long. RefSeq lists it as uncharacterized. The record is from RefSeq and is a predicted model, not a curated record. Lineage: Eukaryota; Viridiplantae; Streptophyta; Magnoliopsida; Fabales; Fabaceae.